Molecule: ribosomal RNA, 402 nt
Filed under: uncultured bacterium
Lineage: Bacteria
Description: bacterial SSU rRNA
Rfam family: Bacterial small subunit ribosomal RNA
Source: RNAcentral
UGGGGAAUCUUGGACAAUGGGGGAAACCCUGAUCCAGCCAUGCCGCGUGAGCGAUGAAGGCCCUAGGGUUGUAAAGCUCUUUCACCGGUGACGAUAAUGACGGUAACCGGAGAAGAAGCCCCGGCUAACUCCGUGCCAGCAGCCGCGGUAAUACGGAGGGGGCUAGCGUUGUUCGGAAUCACUGGGCGUAAAGCGCGCGUAGGCGGGCCGUUAAGUCGGGGGUGAAAUCCCGGGGCUCAACCCCGGAACUGCCCUCGAUACUGGCGGCCUAGAGACCGGGAGAGGUGAGUGGAAUGCCGAGUGUAGAGGUGAAAUUCGUAGAUAUUCGGCGGAACACCAGUGGCGAAGGCGGCUCACUGGCCCGGUUCUGACGCUGAGGUGCGAAAGCGUGGGGAGCAAACA